Molecule: long non-coding RNA, 302 nt
Filed under: Setaria viridis
Lineage: Eukaryota; Viridiplantae; Streptophyta; Magnoliopsida; Poales; Poaceae
Description: long non-coding RNA (SVIR_LNC003375)
Source: RNAcentral
AGAGAGAGACGCUGAUUCAUGCUAGGAAAGCAACUUUGGGCCGAGGUUAAGGCCUUUUUGCGUGAAAGGACAAAAUUGGUUUCCUGAUUAUGAAAAAAACGUCAACCCCUCCCCCCUUAUCCUUUUGCGAGAAGGAUGAGAGGGUUGGCCUUGAUGUUGCUUCUGCUCAAAGAGCCAUGUUGCUUUCUUAAAAACAUCACCCCACACUGAGGAGCAAAAGCACUUAACCAACCUAGACUGUCUCGAUCUUAGAUACUUAGAAAACUUUGGAUGAGAUGAAAAGGGAAAUGUUUGUAUUUGUA